This 136-nucleotide ribosomal RNA is filed under the name uncultured bacterium. RNAcentral describes it as "partial 16S ribosomal RNA". It matches the Rfam family "Bacterial small subunit ribosomal RNA", at positions 372 to 525 of the family's 1533-position model. The record is from RNAcentral.
UGGGGGCAACCCUGAUCCAGCCAUGCCGCGUGAGUGAUGAAGGCCUUCGGGUUGUAAAGCUCUUUUGGCGGGGAAGAUGAUGACGGUACCCGCAGAAUAAGCCCCGGCUAACUUCGUGCCAGCAGCCGCGGUAAUA